RNAcentral lists this ribosomal RNA (301 nucleotides) under uncultured bacterium. RNAcentral's name for it is "partial 16S ribosomal RNA". It matches the Rfam family "Bacterial small subunit ribosomal RNA", at positions 509 to 808 of the family's 1533-position model. The record is from RNAcentral.
CAGCCGCCGCGGUAACACGGAGGGGGCUAGCGUUGUUCGGAUUUACUGGGCGUAAAGCGCACGUAGGCGGACUUUUAAGUCAGGGGUGAAAUCCCGGGGCUCAACCCCGGAACUGCCUUUGAUACUGGGAGUCUUGAGUUCGAGAGAGGUGAGUGGAAUUGCGAGUGUAGAGGUGAAAUUCGUAGAUAUUCGCAGGAACACCAGUGGCGAAGGCGGCCCACUGGCUCGAUACUGACGCUGAGGUGCGAAAGCGUGGGGAGCAAACAGGAUUAGAUACCCCGGUAGUCCCUGUCUCUUAACA